GACAAAUAAAAAAAUUCGGACGACCUACGCACACGCUCAGACAGGUUUACGCGCUGACAAGCUGCCCUUCCGCGAACUACACGUUCGACGAAAUGCCGCCGCGAGAGUCGAGACCUCUUCAUCGUCAACUGAGAUUCGCCUAGCAUCUUCUCGGAUUCCUUCCCCAACUUUCGUCCCCAUCAGCGGACCUACUCGAGAUCGACGAGACUCGUCGGAGCCCGGUUCCUAGGCGUCCCAGCGCCCGACUGGAUCUCCUGGCUCGGGCCGCCUUGAUGGUCCCUGGGGUCGGUCCGGGGUGGAGUUCGAGGCGAUGAGCAGGCUUGCGUCGGGGCUCCAGCGCUUGCGGAGGUCGUCGUCGCAGUGGGAGGUGCUGUGGUCGGCGCUCGCGUCAUGCGGCCUAGUGCUUUUCUCGCAGCUCGCCGUGGCGAUGGUUCCCCGUCUCUUCCCUUUCCUCUCCCUCCUCGCGAUGCUCCCCAUCGCGGGUCGGUGCUCUCUGGUUGCUCGCUUCCUUUUUGGUUCUCUGCACAGCUGCACUGCACCCGAUUGCGGGAGUUUCUAUUUUUUAAGCGCCAGAGCGAUUCUGAUCUUCCUUCGACUGCGUGUUGCAUAGGGUUGGUGUUCAUCGCGGCUAUCGUGCUCGGCCGCCUGUGGAGGAGGUUCAUCGGGGUGGCGGCGUCGGCCCCGCUCUUCGUGCUCUUCAACAUCCUCCUAUUGUGGGGCGUUUACGUAUUCGUAAUCCGGAGAGAAACUUCUUCUCUGCUGGACAUGCUAAUAAAUGCAGAGUGUGCACUUCUUCUGUGGGGAUUCUACAGGAUUUUAUCUGGUGAUCCUGGUAUUGUUGCUUGUGAUUCUUCAUAUUUGGAAGAAGCUGGCUGCAAGGAUUUUGUGGAAGCUAUAUACUCGAGUGAGAAACUCCCAAUGCUCUCAAGGGUCAGGCAGUGUACCUGGUGCAAAGCAAACAUUAGGGGCUAUGACCAUCAUUGUCCUGCAUUUGGUACUUGCAUAGGACAGAAAAAUCAUCGUCUAUUUAUGGCCCUUUUGACAGGAUUUGUUGUUGCUGAAUCAACAUAUACGAUGUGCUCAACAAAAUAUAUUACCAGAUGCAUCAGUUCAGGGACUAUAAGAUCGGAGAAUCCUGUAUCUUUAAACAUAGUAAUCAGUACAACGCUCUUCUCUAUCCUCCAGGUCCUCUGGCAGAUCCUCCGUGCUGUUACCAGAUUGUAUUCUUGAUGUGGCACAUAUAUUGCAUCUGCUUCAACAUCAAGACAGAUGAGUGGGUAAUUUCAAAUUUCCCAUGCUUUGGAGUCUUCGUUCAUCAAUUGCAGGUCGUCUUCUCGUUAGCUGUUUCUUGUAGCUAAAAGGUGAGAUUUUCCAGAUUAACUGGAAGAAAUAUCCUGAAUUCCAGAUGAAGGAACAACCUCGAUCAGAUUCUGAAGUCAAAUUUGUGAACCCAUAUGACAAGGGCAUGCUGUGUAACAUAAGAGAAUUUCUAAAGCCGGAAUGAUAGAUAGCCAAUUUUGAGUACGAAGACCUGGAACUAGAAAGAUGGGAAGUCUGAAGUGCGUUAUAACUGGAUGGAAGCUUGUUUCCUUGUUGGCUAUAGAUUUUCAGGAAUCUAUUCUGAUGUUGUAGCCGUUUAGUUGAGAUUCCAGAUUUAUGACAGCGAAUCUGGUUCAGUAAACUGAACCAAACACACUCUGAGGAUCAUUGAACUCCCUGUAGUUUAAUGUGCAAGUAACAUUCUUUUGUAAGGUUACUUUCACUUAUGGAAUUCAUAUCGUGGUCCUGCAUUUUUCA
Zea mays is the source of this 1797-nucleotide RNA transcript. It is a transcript of the gene named DHHC zinc finger domain containing protein, with no coding region annotated. Lineage: Eukaryota; Viridiplantae; Streptophyta; Magnoliopsida; Poales; Poaceae. The transcript has 9 exons. The record is from RefSeq and is marked validated.